AUGCCAGGCUCCUACGGGAGGCAGCAGUGAGGAAUAUUGGUCAAUGGCCGAGAGGCUGAACCAGCCAAGUCGCGUGAGGGAUGACGGCCCUACGGGUUUUAAACCUCUUUUGCCGGGGAGCAAAGAGCGGGACGCGUCCCGCCUCGAGAGUACCCGGAGAAAAAGCAUCGGCUAACUCCGUGCCAGCAGCCGCGGUAAUACGGAGGAUGCGAGCGUUAUCCGGAUUUAUUGGGUUUAAAGGGUGCGUAGGCGGGAUGCCAAGUCAGCGGUAAAAAUGCGGUGCUCAACGCCGUCGAGCCGUUGAAACUGGCGUUCUUGAGUGGGCGAGAAGUAUGCGGAAUGCGUGGUGUAGCGGUGAAAUGCAUAGAUAUCACGCAGAACUCCGAUUGCGAAGGCAGCAUACCGGCGCCCUACUGACGCUGAGGCACGAAAGCGUGGGUAUCGAACAGGAUUAGAUACCCGUGUACA
Molecule: ribosomal RNA, 468 nt
Filed under: uncultured bacterium
Lineage: Bacteria
Description: bacterial SSU rRNA
Rfam family: Bacterial small subunit ribosomal RNA
Source: RNAcentral